Molecule: ribosomal RNA, 492 nt
Filed under: uncultured bacterium
Lineage: Bacteria
Description: partial 16S ribosomal RNA
Rfam family: Bacterial small subunit ribosomal RNA
Source: RNAcentral
AGUGAACGCUGGCGGUAGGCCUAGCACAUGCAAGUCGAACGGCAGCACAGUAAGAGCUUGCUCUUACGGGUGGCGAGUGGCGGACGGUUGAGGAAUACAUCGGAAUCUACUUUUUCGUGGGGGAUAACGUAGGGAAACGUACGCUAAUACCGCAUACGACCUACGGGUGAAAGCAGGGGAUCUUCGGACCUUGCGCGAUUGAAUGAGCCGAUGUCGGAUUAGCUAGUUGGCGGGGUAAAGGCCCACCAAGGCGACGAUCCGUAGCUGGUCUGAGAGGAUGAUCAGCCACACUGGAACUGAGACACGGUCCAGACUCCUACGGGAGGCAGCAGUGGGGAAUAUUGGACAAUGGGCGCAAGCCUGAUCCAGCAAUACCGCGUGGGUGAAGAAGGCCUUCGGGUUGUAAAGCCCUUUUGUUGGGAAAGAAAAGCAGCAGGUUAAUCCCCCGCUGUUCUGACGGUACCCAAAGAAUAAGCACCGGCUAACUUCGUG